This 709-nucleotide long non-coding RNA is filed under the name Scophthalmus maximus (turbot). RNAcentral's name for it is "lncRNA (ENSSMAG00000024786.1)". Lineage: Eukaryota; Metazoa; Chordata; Actinopteri; Pleuronectiformes; Scophthalmidae. The record is from RNAcentral.
AUGAGAACUUCUGUCACCUCCACCCCCGCUGUCCGGCGUGUGGCGCAGCAGGAUAGACGGCGAACCUGGCAACCCGCUGCGUGCUCCGAUAGGCAGGACCACUCUCCUCCUCCUCCUCCUCCUCCUCCCGCUCCGGGCCUUUUCCAUCCUCCACGUCUCCACACGUCGCCGCAGACGAUCGAACCGUCCGACCGCUCGUGUCCACGUCUGUCGUCGCAUCUCGAGCCUCCGGGAAGUUUCACAGCGUCCGGACACGUCGCGUCGCGGAGCAGAUUCAUGACAACAGAGAUUAAAGACAUUUCAUUGUGUUCAACACAUUUAUGAAGAUAUCGAUCGAUUUAUUUUCUUUAUGAAUUGACUUAUACGCUCAUUGCCCCCCCCACACAACACACUCCCGUUGUUCCUGCCACGUCAUCAUGCAGGUUGUGAACUUGAGCCUGAUGAGAAAUUUAGUUUUUUUUCCCAAAAAUAUCGAUCUCAAACUUGAUUUUAGUCACAGCAGGAUGAGUUGAUCAAUGAGUCAAUCGACACUAAUUGAAUCUGCAGCUCUUCUGAUCAUUGAUGAAUCUCUCAACACAACACUUCACCUUCUCAGUUUCCAAGAGAAAGUUUGUAACAUGUCAUAACUUUCUUUGACCUAAUCUUGGGCUAAUUUCUGAUAUACAUAUAAUUUUCAUUAUAUAUAAUAUAUGAUUAGAGGUGCAACUAA